RNAcentral lists this long non-coding RNA (622 nucleotides) under Nicotiana benthamiana. Its description in RNAcentral is "long non-coding RNA (NBEN_LNC007172)". Lineage: Eukaryota; Viridiplantae; Streptophyta; Magnoliopsida; Solanales; Solanaceae. The record is from RNAcentral.
CUAGUUUGAUGAAUGAAAUUGUAGAUUUCAAACAUUAUACAACCUGCUGUUUUCACUGCAAAUUUAAGAGAAUAUGACCAUGGUGCUAUUCUGAUUUUCCUGAGCUCGCUUCCCUUGAUCUUAACUGAACUGCCUUUAAAGGUAUAACCUUAAGCCUGCACUUCGGUAGAUUUACAUAUACAGAGUUUUAUACAAUAAAGCUUUUCAAAGCAAGAAUUGGUAGAGUGGCGCUAUGGAAGGGUAAGUAAGACCGGCACCAUUUGAAUGUGUAUUAACAUUUCCCACUCGAUGCAAAUCACUUCCAUGAGAAAUUCCACAUUAAACGCAGCAUCUCAUUUCAACUGUAUUAACAUCUCCCACUCGAUGCAAAUCACUUCCAUGAGAAAUUCCACAUUAAACGCAGCAUCUCAUUUCAAAGGUCCUUUCUCAUGCUCCAUAUGUGUAACCUUUCAGUUUGAAGAAUUAUUACUCUUCCCACUAAUGUUUAUUGAAAGAGAACAGCAAAAUCCACUGCAGGCGACUGGUCUGGAUCUACUGUAUGCAUAACCACGUCUAAUCAACAUGCAAUAAAGCCAAUCUUUCUCCUCUACAUCAUGCUAAGGAUUGCUUGAGAAGCACAAAC